This 506-nucleotide ribosomal RNA is filed under the name uncultured bacterium. RNAcentral describes it as "bacterial SSU rRNA". It matches the Rfam family "Bacterial small subunit ribosomal RNA", at positions 355 to 879 of the family's 1533-position model. The record is from RNAcentral.
UGGGGAAUAUUGGACAAUGGGCGCAAGCCUGAUCCAGCAAUGCCGCGUGUGCGAAGAAGGUCUUCGGAUUGUAAAGCACUUUCGGCGGGGACGAUGAUGACGGUACCCGCAGAAGAAGCCCCGGCUAACUUCGUGCCAGCAGCCGCGGUAAUACGAAGGGGGCUAGCGUUGCUCGGAAUGACUGGGCGUAAAGGCGCGUAGGCGGAUGGGACAGUCAGAUGUGAAAUUCCCGGGCUCAACCUGGGGGCGGCAUUUGAGACGUUCUGUCUGGAGUGGGGAAGAGGGUCGUGGAAUUCCCAGUGUAGAGGUGGAAUUCGUAGAUAUUGGGAAGAACACCGGUGGCGAAGGCGGCGACCUGGUCCUUGACUGACGCUGAGGCGCGAAAGCGUGGGGAGCAAACAGGAUUAGAUACCCUGGUAGUCCACGCCGUAAACGAUGUGCGCUGGAUGUUGGGCGACCUAGUCGCUCAGUGUCGCAGCUAACGCGCUAAGCGCACCGCCUGGGGA